Molecule: RNA transcript, 2853 nt
Organism: Heterocephalus glaber (naked mole-rat)
Lineage: Eukaryota; Metazoa; Chordata; Mammalia; Rodentia; Bathyergidae
Gene: Pbld
Gene name: phenazine biosynthesis like protein domain containing
Source: RefSeq, a predicted model, not a curated record
CCAAGCCUGGCUUAAAAACCUUCGCCACCGGGCGGCGGGAUUACAAAGGAAGUCGCCUGCCUCCUUUGUCCUGGAUCUGGGAGCUGAGUACCUUCGUCGCCAUUGGCCUUCCUCUCCCAGCUCCAGCCUCUCUCACCUUGGGAAUCUGCGUCAGAAGUCGCUCGCAGUCCCGCCAGCCCAGUAAGAAGGAGUGAAGCAGGCGCCCGCAGGCCUGAGCCUGUGGAAAAACAGCUGUGAAGAUAAUGAAGCUCCCGAUUUUCAUAGCUGAUGCGUUCACAGCAAGAGCAUUCCGUGGGAAUCCUGCUGCUGUUUGCCUCCUAGAAGAUAAAUUGGAUGAAGACGUGCAUCAAAAAAUUGCCAAGGAAAUGAACCUCUCUGAAACUGCUUUUAUUCGAAAACUGCACCCAACAGACAACUUUACACAAAGUUCCUGCUUCAGACUGAGGUGGUUCACACCAGCAAGUGAGGUCCCACUCUGUGGCCACGCCACCCUGGCUUCUGCAGCUGUGCUGUUUUACAAAACAAAAAACAUGAACAGCACCCUCACCUUUGUUACUCUGAGUGGGGAACUAAAGGCCAGAAGAGCCGAAGAUGGGAUCAUCUUGGACCUGCCUCUCUACCCAACCCAGCCCAAGGAAUUCCAUGAAGUGAAAAACUUGAUAAAGUCAGCCAUAGGCGACACGCUGGUCCAGGAUGUCUGCUAUUCUCCAGAUACUCAAAACCUCCUUGUCCGGCUCAGUGAUUCUUACGACAGGUCAUUUCUGGAGACCCUGAAAGUGAACACGGCGAAUCUGACACAAGUGGAGAACACAGGGAAGGUGAAAGGACUCAUUCUCACCCUCAAAGGAGAGCCUGCUGGGCAGACCCAAGCAUUUGACUUCUACUCCAGAUAUUUUGCACCAUGGGUCGGUGUGGCGGAAGACCCUGUAACAGGGUCUGCACACACUGUUCUCAGCAGCUACUGGUCCCAGCAACUGGGGAAGAAAAACAUGCAUGAUUUAUUUGGUUCUCUUGAUGCUGAAGAUCAAAGCCAGGGUCUUGUGCAUGGUCCAAGACACUUGCUACAAGGUUUCAGAGACCAUAUUUACUCACCUGGAGCUGGGGAGUCAGAAAAUAUGUCCUACAGGCAGUGACAUCUGAGAUGGACUGCAGGGAACAGACAAGAUUUCUCAUCCUUACGAAAAUGAGAGGGAAUCACCUAUGAAUAAUUGGACAGCUGGAGAAGAUAAGUGGGAUGAUUCAGAUGCCUGAACUCUGUCAGAAGAGGUUUUUAUCCUCACUCAAAUGGCCAGGAUGGCUUCAGCCAGGCCAAAGAACAAUCAGUAAUAGUACCUCCGACUUUAACACCGUGAGCCUCUGAGAAAUAACACGCCGGUCAGGCUGCCUGCUGAAAGGGUAUUGAAUUUAUGCAGCUCUACUCUGAAGACUUUUGAGAAUCAAUUCCUCUACUUGUUCAACUGGGAGCCUUGAGGGCACUGCUGAUUUUCCUCAGCUGUUUGUAAACCUUGCUUGUUAAAGGAUCUUGGCUCUACGUACAGGAGGUUGCUCUCGAUUGCUGCGGAGAGGCAGACUAUGAUUUCAGGUAGGUGUACACUGUGUACUAGCAGCUCUCUGCCCUCCUGCUAUUGUUAGCUAUCUGGGACACUGCUCUGCCUCUCCAGGACACAUUUGCUGCUCUGGCUUCUGUGAGCUGUGCUUGGUGCUUAGCCCAAGUGGAAGAACAAGAGGUGCUGACCUGCACAGAUGAAUCACCUCUCUGCUUGGGACUCUCUCCUAUGUAUUGUGCCUAAUGCCUUCAAGUCUGGAGCAUGCCCAGAAGAGUUCCCAGCUCCACAGUGGUCUUCUCUGAGAUAUGAUUUGGAUUUUAGAUUUCCUUGUCUAUUAGUUUCCUUCUGAAUAGAGGUGUAUUUACUAUGAAACCAAUGAAAAAUUAGGUUUCUGAACUGGGGAUGUAGCUCAGUGGUUGAGCAUUUGCUAACAUGUGCAAAGCAGAGCCCUGGGUUCCAUUCAUGUGUAUGGCUUCCUUCUAAGGCCCUAUGCUCAAUUGUAUAUUCACAAUUUUGUGUUAUCCUAAAAAGGCCUUUCCAAAUUAUAUAUACUAAUAUACUACCAGGUCCACAAAACUUGGAUAUGUCUCCUCCAGAUGGAAUUUCUACAUUUUGGGAAUUUCUAAGAAUUUCAGAUUUAUAGAUGGCAUUUUGUUGUUUUUCAGUUAGGUUUUGGGGUGUUGGAAGGGAAGGCACAUGUGAUUAUCUGCUAUUUUGAUGAUUCUCUUUUCACAGUCAGAUCACUUCUAAUUGGCCUUCUGCACCCAUCACUCUCUUAAAACUGCUCUUCAUGGAGUCACUGACGGCCUCUAUAUCAUAUAAUAUUUUCCAGUUUUCAUCCAACUUGACCUCUAAUUAGCAUUCAGUGUAGUUGACUACUUAUUGUCUUGAAGCAACUCUUCUUCUGUACGACUGCCUCCAUUCUCCUCCUGCCAUUUAAGGUGCGCCUUCCUAGUACAGUUUCUUUUGGGGCAGUCUUCCUCACUGACUCAAAUGUUAAAUCUUGAAUUUCCUUUGCAACACUGUCUAGCCAGCAGUUGAUAUUCAGAAAACUCAACAGCUGAUUCAGAAUGGAUGCUCCAGACAAUUAGUAAGACGAAAACCAUAAGCACCCUUAAGUGUUAUAUCAAUUGCACUGAUUAAAUUAAUCACCCUGGGGCUAUGGCAAUUCUUUUCUGACAAAAUAAUGAAAAAGAAAAUUGAGGCUGAUUCCAUACUCAAACAAAAAUGUAAAAGUUCUAAAACCUCAGUUGCCUAUGAACUAGCACAAACAAUCAACAAGUGGGAUCUCUUCUUAUUAAAAGGC